AUUACUAGUUGAUUAAGAUUUUUGUUUUGCUAAUUUGCUUAAAUAAAAUAUCCUGUGUUCAAAAGUCUAAAUUGUUAACUUUUUUGUAAUAGUAAAAGAAACCUUGUGACGUAUCACAUCUUGUCAAUGGUUCUUACAUGCUGCUCUUAGCACUUAAAAUAGUCUGUUCUUUACUUGGCAGCUUAAGUAAUAAUCUAAUGGCUGUGGCUGACAAAUCAGACUUGAUCUGCAGAGUUUAAAUCCACAUGUGUCCAACAGCUCUGUGUCAUAAACCUGCUGAUCAAAUGUAUCCUGAGCUCUGGCUUCUCUUUUAGAGGACAGUCUGAUGUAUGCUGAGGUCAAACGCCCCAAAAAAGAAAAAGCCAAGAAGAAAGCAGGAAAAUCAAGUCCUGCAGCUGAUGCAGCAGUUUAUUCUGAAGUCACAUUAGGAAGCUUUCCUGGUCAGUGAGGAGAGCUGCAGCAGCAAAAAGAAGCAUUUUAUGAAUCCACUGUUGCUCCUCUGCUGCUCAAAUAUCAGACGUGCUCACUUUUUAGUGUUUAUGAAGAUGAUAUUGAAUAAUAAUAUGAUAUUGACUUGGUACUAUCUUUUAGCAUAAAGCACACAGAGGUGUGUCCUGUUUCAGAUCCAUGCUCUUUAUAUUCAGCUGAUAUUUUUUUAUUCAUUUUUAAGCUUUAAUAUACAAUUUUGAAUGUAUCCUGUUCCAAUAGCAAGUGAGAAAAAAGUUUUAAGUCUGUGUUUUUUAUUACCUCAAAGCAACAACUUAAAGUCAGCAGAGUCACAUUAGUGCUGGUAUGAACACCAACAAAUACUUUUACUGUCUGAGUUUAAAGAUCUGCAUCAUGCAAAAAUGAAUUAUUUGUUAUAAAAACAUGAAAAAGUUGAGCUUGAUUCAUUUGAUGUCAGAUGCUGUGAAUUUUAUUUUUUAUUUAAUUUUAUUUUAAUGUUGUUUGCUGUUCUCACUUUUUCUGGAUUUAACGUUUUACUUUUUUAAGGUUAUAUAUUGUAAAUGUAGAGCUCUGCGAUCAGCUCUGUCGUUUUAAACAUCAUAUAAAUAAACUUAACCUUGACUUCA
Molecule: long non-coding RNA, 1073 nt
Organism: Haplochromis burtoni (Burton's mouthbrooder)
Lineage: Eukaryota; Metazoa; Chordata; Actinopteri; Cichliformes; Cichlidae
Exons: 3
Source: RefSeq, a predicted model, not a curated record